RNAcentral lists this ribosomal RNA (465 nucleotides) under Vreelandella stevensii. Its description in RNAcentral is "partial 16S ribosomal RNA". It matches the Rfam family "Bacterial small subunit ribosomal RNA", at positions 338 to 795 of the family's 1533-position model. The record is from RNAcentral. Lineage: Bacteria; Pseudomonadati; Pseudomonadota; Gammaproteobacteria; Oceanospirillales; Halomonadaceae.
CCUACGGGUGGCUGCAGUGGGGAAUAUUGGACAAUGGGCGAAAGCCUGAUCCAGCCAUGCCGCGUGUGUGAAGAAGGCCUUCGGGUUGUAAAGCACUUUCAUUGGGGAAGAAAGCCUUGGGGCUAAUACCCUCGAGGAAGGACAUCACCCACAGAAGAAGCACCGGCUAACUCCGUGCCAGCAGCCGCGGUAAUACGGAGGGUGCGAGCGUUAAUCGGAAUUACUGGGCGUAAAGCGCGCGUAGGCGGUCUGAUAAGCCGGUUGUGAAAGCCCCGGGCUCAACCUGGGAACGGCAUCCGGAACUGUCAGGCUAGAGUGCAGGAGAGGAAGGUAGAAUUCCCGGUGUAGCGGUGAAAUGCGUAGAGAUCGGGAGGAAUACCAGUGGCGAAGGCGGCCUUCUGGACUGACACUGACGCUGAGGUGCGAAAGCGUGGGUAGCAAACAGGAUUAGAUACCCCUGUAGUC